AGGACGAACGCUGGCGGCGUGCCUCAUACAUGCAAGUGGAGCGACGAACCAGGAUUUAUCCUGGGGCAAAGCCGCGAACGGGUGAGUAACACGUGGGUUACCUGCCCCGAUGAUUGGGACAACCCGAGGAAACUCGGGCUAAUACCAAAUGUGUUCUUGGUCGUGAUGACCAAGAAGAAAGGAAGCCUCGGCCUCCGCAUCGGGAUGGGCCCGCGGCCCAUUAGCUAGUUGGUGGGGUAAUGGCCUACCAAGGCGACGAUGGGUAGCUGGUCUGAGAGGAUGAUCAGCCACACUGGGACUGAGACACGGCCCAGACUCCUACGGGAGGCAGCAGUGGGGAAUAUUGGACAAUGGGGGCAACCCUGAUCCAGCAAUGCCGCGUGGGUGAAGAAGGUCUUCGGAUUGUAAAGCCCUUUCGACGGGACGAUGAUGACGGUACCCGUAGAAGAAGCCCGGCUAACUUCGUGCCAGCAGCCGC
RNAcentral lists this ribosomal RNA (478 nucleotides) under uncultured bacterium. RNAcentral describes it as "SSU rRNA". It matches the Rfam family "Bacterial small subunit ribosomal RNA", at positions 26 to 518 of the family's 1533-position model. The record is from RNAcentral.